RNAcentral lists this ribosomal RNA (465 nucleotides) under uncultured bacterium. RNAcentral describes it as "partial 16S ribosomal RNA". It matches the Rfam family "Bacterial small subunit ribosomal RNA", at positions 28 to 507 of the family's 1533-position model. The record is from RNAcentral.
GACGAACGCUGGCGGCGUGCUUAACACAUGCAAGUCGAACGGAAAGGCCCUGCUUGCAGGGUACUCGAGUGGCGAACGGGUGAGUAACACGUGGGUGAUCUGCCCUGCACUUCGGGAUAAGCUUGGGAAACUGGGUCUAAUACCGGAUAGGAGCCAUCUUUAGUGUGGUGGUUGGAAAGUUUUUUCGGUGUAGGAUGAGCUCGCGGCCUAUCAGCUUGUUGGUGGGGUAAUGGCCUACCAAGGCGGCGACGGGUAGCCGGCCUGAGAGGGUGUACGGCCACAUUGAGACUGAGAUACGGCCCAGACUCCUACGGGAGGCAGCAGUGGGGAAUAUUGCACGAUGGGCGCAGGCCUGAUGCAGCGACGCCGCGGGGGGGAUGAAGGCCUUCGGGUUGUAAACUCCUUUCGCUAGGGACGAAGCUUUUUGUGACGGUACCUAGAGAAGAAGCACCGGCUAACUACGUG